Strigops habroptila (Kakapo) is the source of this 4564-nucleotide long non-coding RNA. NCBI's taxonomy places the organism in Eukaryota, Metazoa, Chordata, Aves, Psittaciformes, Psittacidae. The record is from Ensembl.
UUUUGUGCUAGUUAUAAUUUUUAUAAAUUUCAAACAAACUGUGGUUCUACACAGGUCAGAAUGGCCUAAUUACAGGAAGUUCAUUUGCACAAUUUUUUCUUGUAAUAAACUCAUACAUUCUGUCUUGACUGGGAAAAAGGACAGGUUAUUCUGUGCUCUUUCCCUGUCUGAUUAUCUCUCAUCGGUCACAAUAUACAAAUACAUCAUUAUCAACAGCAUGAAAAGAUGUAAGAAAAAAACACUUAGCUGAGGAGAAGAAAUCUUAGCAGCUAUUUCAGCUCGAGCUGCAACAAGAAAUAGACAAUUUGGCUCUUUUUUUAUUAUUAUUAUAUAUUUCUAAUCAUAUAUAUAUUUGAAGUCUGAGUAUUUUUGGAAAGGAAGCACAUGGCCUUCCUCACACCCAAUCCUGUUUGAAAUCUCAAGAGUCUAAGAAAAUUAUGAAUAAUAAAAUGGCUUUCCAUCACAUACACAACCAGAAUAUAAGACACACGCACAGCUUUGCUGUCACUGGCAAGAAAAGCCAGUGUUCAGAUGUGGUUUGGCCACAGCCAUUUAGGAUCAAGACAAUGACCAUUGGUCUGAUUCUCCACGCAGUGGGGUUAGACGUGAGAGGAAGAGAGGGUCAGGCCUCAUUAGAGUUUAGCGUGGCUUACUAAAAGCAAGACCUGUGUAUCACGGCAGCUGCCCAUCUACCUGUUUGUCAUUACCGUCUGUAAGGAAGGAGUCUACACCCAGCUGAGCAGAGUUUUGAGGUUGUGAAGUUUUAAAAGUUUCACAGAAGAUGGCAGCAGAGCAGAGGAAGGAAAUCCAAGUCAAAACCUCAGCCAAGAGGGCAGGUCUCGCUAGUCCGACCCAGAGAGAACAGCCAGGCAGCAGGCACGGACUCAGGGGUCAAGCAGCAAGGGAACAAUGCUCAACCAUGAGUGCUGCUACAGCAGAGAUACACCUUGGACCUUGUCUCUUCUACAACUGAAACUUAGUGGCAACCAUUACUUUUAAAUGACUUUCUGUUCACUCUAUCUUCUACAAACAACACUGAAAUGAAAUCCACAUUUGAAAACUAUGAUUUUUAGGUCUAUCUACCUAAAAAUUAUGGUGUCAAAGACCUACAUAUAGAAUAAAGUACACAUUAGUCUUGCUAGACAUCACCAAAUCAUAUUCUAGACGGUACAUGGAGAGUCAUUCCCUUAAUUAUCACCUUGCUUGACAGAAAUACAGUAAUUAAAAGACUAUCCCAUCUACUAAUUUAAAAGGAAAAAAAAAAAAUCAAACCCUGUUUUGUCUCUUCAGCGAAGCCAGAAGGUUACUUUUUGUUGGCUGUUCUCAGACUUGCCAGCAGCCUGAUCUGUCAUCGAACUUCAUUCUUUAAAAACGCAAAGCCAGCAGUGUGACACUGUCUCACUGACAUCUGCACCACAGGUAUCAGCCAGGCAAAGGGCUCUGGUUUCUCCCCAGCAGCAGCUGCCUUGGUUGCAGUAUCGUCUGGGCUUGGAACGUGGAGACACAAACAGGCAGAAACAGCCCUUGGCUCACUGGCACUGCAGGAAGGUUAAAGACACAACUAGUGGUUGUGGGCUCCCUGCUCAGGUUCAGCAGUGUCCAAGGAUAGCUGUGAUACAACCAGCUACCAAAGACCACUGAGAGCCAGACUGCUGUGCCACUGCUGCCCACAGCCAUAGAGCAGUGAGUUACUUGUCAUCAUCAGGAUAUUCAUGGUGCAGAAGUGACUCAAACUUUGGUCCAACAGGAUAAAACACAAGAUUUUGGGAGGUGGAAAAAAAAAUAAGAAAAAACCAACACCCCCCCCCAAAACCAAAAAAAAACAAACAACCCCCCCCAAAAUUAAAGCCAAACCCCAAACUGUUUUCAAGCGCAAAGCAGGGAGGAAAAUUGUUAUAAUCCAGCCCAUACCUUUGCAGUUGACAUGACGACAUGGUGAGUUGGGUGACAGGAUACACUUCUGUAGCAAUCAUCUUCCCUGUUCGAGCUCUAGGCUGCCUCACAGGAUGCCACUACUGACACUCAUGGAGGGUACAGCAGGACAUAUGAGGUUGAAUGCUUUGCUUUCCCCUGGAGGGUCCCCAAUUUUCAAACACAUGCUAAAAUUUAGCAUCAUAAUUCACCACAGGGGAAAUCCAAUAGCUCCAAUUUUUUUCCAGUUUUAGGAAGAUAUUGAGGCACCAGGGAUACAGGACUAGCACACUGUCACCCUGCACACAGCAGAGGUAGGAAAUGGACCGACAAUACCUGAUUUUCCAUUUCCUGUUCAAACAGAGCCUUCCCACUGCCAUUUCACACCAUUAGAAUGAGAUUCCUGUAAAAAAACUCCAAAGUGCAGGUUUGCAUCCUUCUGUUUGUCAGCAAUGUUACAAAUCCUAGUUUUGGCAGUUUCAUAUACCCAUGGUAACCCUUCCCCUAUCUUUCUCUCUCACACACAUACACAAGCUUACUAUAUUUUAUCAAUGUGCAAUCAAAGCUCUACCCCUUUCCUCUUCUAUGCUUAGGGCAGGUGUAGACAGAAGCACUGUUAUCAGGCCAUGCAAAAAAUACACAAAGUAAUACAGAAACCAAAAUGAACUCAUUUUGGGGAGAUGAUAAAGUAAUUGCACUGCAAGAAAACAUCACUGCAUAUUUCCUUAGGGGACUGAAAGGAAUCAAUUCUUCCCUCAAGAUGUUCAUGACUACAGUAGACUAAUAGGAUUGAUGUUCCUGAGAGGCUACAUGUCAUUUUUAAGGUAAAUAACCAGCACAAAACAGACAAGAUCUUACAUCUGUAGGACAAAAUUAGCUUCCAAAAAGGUACAGAACUCUCAAGUCCUUCAGUCAUGAAAAACAAUGUCAGAAAUCACAGAGUUUAGAUAUUAAGGGUUAGAAGCACCAUGGGAAUUCACCACCACAGUACAACUAAUAAUUAACCAAUAAGACUUCACAGGCAAACAAAAUCUGAAUAAACCUUUUACCUACUCUAAGGCUUUUUCUUGGAUGGGACUAUCUACCUUCUUCACAGCUAUCCUGACCUCAUACACUAAGAUAUUUGCAAUGCCAGCCUCCACAGAGACACAGGGAAAAACAUUCAGGUCCCUGCAAAAAUAAUAGUAAUGAUACUGACUCCUACUAUUUGCUCAGAGGCUCAGAUACUGAAGAGUGGGUUUUGGUUUUGCGUCAUCUCUAUUUUUAGCGCUUUCGUCCCCUUUGUUAUUUACAUAGAGCACCACUAGUCUCAGUGUUAAACCAAAAAUAACUAAUAGUGAAAGCCAAUCACUCACUCUUGACCUUCUAGGGUAAUUUUUACCAGGCUGAUUUUUGCCUGUAUACAACUCUGAGUCAAUACUUAUCUUUACUAAAGUAUUAGCAGCUUUUGUGGGACCUAAGACCCAAUUACCAUCAAAAUCCCUUCAUGCUUUAACAGCUGCUCUAAAUGAGCUAAUGGCUUAUAGAAGAAUAAUAUAACAUCUGUGAUCAUUUUAUAUUAUACAUUACAGCCUUAUGUGGCAGAGAUUUGGUAGUCCUUUAAUCAAAUGUCCUGGAAAGAAGUAUUUAACAACAACAAUCUAUCCACUCACUGGAGCAUCUAAUGCUCACUGCCUAUUUGCAAUGCUUAAGUGUAUUCCAAAUGGGGGAUGAAACGUAUCUACUCCAUAGCGCAGCGCACAAAGAAAGCAUGCAGUCUACUCAAACAUAUGACAUAAAAUGGCAUUCAAUUGAAUUCUCGGCACCAAAUGCAAAGGAUUGUGAUCCAGCAAUCACAGACUGCAGAGGGGAGAGGGGAAUGACAUAUUGUAAAGAGUUCAAAAUGUUCUUUGUCACAGUAGCUGUUACACAUCUUUGCUUCCCUAAGCCCUGCACCUCGAUCUCAUAGCCAGGAGUUGCUAUUUGUAUCAAUCCAACACGAUUCUCUAUGCAGCAGGUCAUUUGCUGUGCCGUUCCAGAAGUAGUCAUAUCAUUGCUGCACGAAACCUCUCUGAUGGUCCAAGUCAGAAGUUUCCUUACACAACCACCCUAAAAUCGGAUGGUUUUGGUGUUGACCAUCAGCAAAAAGGGCACAUUUGUGAUGUAUCAGCUGGAAUUAAGGAGGAUGGGGAAGGCACAGCCAGAGGCCAGCAAAUAGAAAAACCACCAGGCGACCCCAUGGUAGAGCAAGAACUCAUCACCAUGCAUGUGCCCCUCUGCAUAACUUGGUGUUCAAGCGAAGUUGCCAAAAGGUGCGUGCAUAGUAACUCUUCAGCUCUGCUGUUGACCUAAUUUAGGCCACAUCUUCUGAAACAGUUUGAUAAUCAAUGUGAGAAAGAUUUUUCUCCUCUAAUACUGAGAAUGGGUUUUGAUCCUUUUUGGAUGUUUAAUGCUCAUUUUAAGGUUGUGUUUCCCAGCUUGCCAGGUGGACAGCACAGUUCUCAUCUGUUCAUGCCGAUAACGUUUUAGUGAAUGAUGAACCUCAGAGCUUGCGAGAAAGGCAACUUUGAUCCAGUGUCCACCCAAAAUUAAAGAGAGAUGGACGAGGUCCUGAGGAAGGCUGGUCCUGCUGUUCAGCUGCCAGCCCUCUGUUCUGCUGGGAAGCUUUUGGCCA